UACGGAGGGUGCAAGCGUUAUCCGGAUUCACUGGGUUUAAAGGGUGCGUAGGAGGGCAGGUAAGUCAGUGGUGAAAUCUUCGAGCUUAACUCGGAAACUGCCGUUGAUACUAUCUGUCUUGAAUACCGUGGAGAUGAGCGGAAUAUGUCAUGUAGCGGUGAAAUGCUUAGAUAUGACAUAGAACACCAAUUGCGAAGGCAGCUCGUUACACGAAUAUUGACUCUGAGGCACGAAAGCGUGGGGACCAAACAGG
RNAcentral lists this ribosomal RNA (253 nucleotides) under uncultured bacterium. RNAcentral's name for it is "partial 16S ribosomal RNA". It matches the Rfam family "Bacterial small subunit ribosomal RNA", at positions 524 to 776 of the family's 1533-position model. The record is from RNAcentral.